AUAUAGAAGACAGCGCGCUAGCGUAUCUAGUCUUCUAUAUAUCCAUGGUCGGCACGUCUGGUAGCGUCUCUGGCUGCUAUUGAUCUUGUUUUUGGAGUAAAACACGAUGUUCAGAGGGAGAUGAUGCCACAUCUGGUCCAGCUGAUGGAAGGUCUUGAAGUUCUCUGACUGGCCUCGACUGAAGAUGGUCGUCUCACUGGAUUUAAGGUUCAGAUGCUCAGUAACAAACUCCACCAAUGUGCCAACAGGGAAGCUUUAGGUUUAUUAAAUGUUGCUAUGAAGGUUUCGCUGUUUUUCUUUGUGAAUGUAAUGUGCUCCAACUGAAACUUGAAUUAGAACUUAGAAGUAAAUCCUUCCAUCUGAAAGGAUUUAGUUGCAUUAAUAGCCUCAAAACAUUCUAAUUUUUAUUCCAGUCUUGGCUGGAAAUAGAAUCUCUGUAUUGAUUCAGGUAAAAACUGAACUUCACAGCAUGUUGAAGCAAAACAACCAGAUGAAAACUGUGAUGGUGUUGGAUUGUCAGACUGUAAUGUUGCAGCUCAAAGCAGCUUUUCUAUCUCAGUUCAUUCUGACAUUCAGCUAUGAAUCAACACAGCAGAUGGUGAUCCAUGCUGUGGAAGUCUCACAUCUCCUGAUUUAAUGGAGCUGUUGUGAACUUUGGUAAGAAGCAGAAACUUUAGCGUUGCCAUGGAUACAUGAGUGUUAAAUUCUGUCCAUGUUUCCAUUUUGGGAAAUGCAGUCCAGUUCCAGAAUGUGGAGGAAUUUAGUCUCACAAUCACAGACAACAAAUAUUAUCUGAAAGUCGGGUUAUUGUUGUUUAUCAGCACAAUACAAAAAGAUUAAUGUUAGAAAUAUUCCAGUUAAGACUCUAGAAUAUCAUGAUUUAUGUAAAUUUACCUCAAUAAUAUGAAUGUUCAGGUUAAGAUUGUACAGUGAUAUUUAUUAUGCAAGUUUAGCUGAUUAAAGUUUAUGACUGUACUAAAAUAUUAUUUAAAUUGACAUCAUUAUUAUAAUAUUUAGGGUCAGACCCUACAGUAUUGAGAUUAAGAAAUCAAAUAUUCUAUAAAAUGUAAAUACACUGAACUCAUUUGGAUAUAUUUAAGUGAGACUCUACAAUAUUAUUUGACACAAAUCUAUCUAAAUCAAAAUUUUAAUAAUUUUCACGCCAAACAUUUACUGGACUGAUUUAAAUAUUAAAAUCACUCCUUUCUAAUCCUCUGCUGUACGUUCAAACCUGAGGCCUGAAAUAGAAACACACAAGUAUCUGAUUGAAGGAACUUCUGCAGAGUCCUGGUUCCAGAACAUGAUGAUAGAAUUAUAGACAAACUUUAACAAAAGCUGCCUGAGAGUUUACAGGUUUUUAUGUUAGAUUUCUUCAGUAAUUUAAUGAGUGUUAUCAGCAAUAAUCAAGUGUUCAUUUGAUGAACUUGAUUUCCUAAAACAUACAGAAUUGGAGCUCAUAUCUUUGGCAGCUGUAAAGUUUCUUCUCCUUCAAAGUUCACAACACAAUGAAUGAAUUCCUAAAACACUCUCAAUGCUGGAGAGCGUUUGUGAUGCUGAAGCAGUGAUCAGUUUUUCUGUUUCUUCUCUGGAGAUGCACAAUGAGGGACGUCUGCAGCGACUGAGAAAGAGUCUCACCACAUCCUGACAUGAGGAAAAAGACUUUAUUGAAGACUACAAUGAGAAAAACUAUCAGACAGCAGACGGCUGCAUUCAAGGUGAGCUCUGAACAUUUGAUCUGGAACAGGAAUUCAAUAACUGCAGCAUGAGCUUCAUUUCUGUCUGUAGCUGCUGAAUUCAUGGAUGAAUCAUCUGGCACUAGAGAGGCAGACCAUCAAACAUCCACGUCAGCUGAUGGAGGUCCAAGAGUCUCACCAAACAAACAACCUACAGAGUGAAGACCUCAAAUCUGAUUGGACGGCCUCCUAUUCAGCCACAUGUGUGAACAAAUGCCUCUAAGUUGAUUUGUUUUCUAAAAUAAAUCUAGUUUGAGUCCUAA
Molecule: long non-coding RNA, 1996 nt
Organism: Amphiprion ocellaris (clown anemonefish)
Lineage: Eukaryota; Metazoa; Chordata; Actinopteri; Pomacentridae
Exons: 2
Source: RefSeq, a predicted model, not a curated record